This is a non-coding RNA of Paragonimus skrjabini miyazakii, 81 nucleotides long. NCBI's taxonomy places the organism in Eukaryota, Metazoa, Platyhelminthes, Trematoda, Plagiorchiida, Troglotrematidae. The record is from the annotation of a GenBank genome assembly.
GGCUUCGUAGCUCAGCUGGUAGAGCACUUAACGCGUUUGGGCAUGAUGUUUCCGUCGCUGGUUCGAAUCCAGCCGAAGUCC